This 30-nucleotide non-coding RNA is filed under the name Mus musculus (house mouse). Lineage: Eukaryota; Metazoa; Chordata; Mammalia; Rodentia; Muridae. The record is from RNAcentral.
UCCAUGGUGAACGCUUUCAUGGUGGGCUGC